This 400-nucleotide ribosomal RNA is filed under the name uncultured bacterium. RNAcentral describes it as "bacterial SSU rRNA". It matches the Rfam family "Bacterial small subunit ribosomal RNA", at positions 355 to 747 of the family's 1533-position model. The record is from RNAcentral.
UAGGGAAUCUUCCGCAAUGGGCGAAAGCCUGACGGAGCAACGCCGCGUGAGUGAUGAAGGUCUUCGGAUCGUAAAACUCUGUUGUUAGGGAAGAACAAAUUUGUUAGUAACUGAACAAGUCUUGACGGUACCUAACCAGAAAGCCACGGCUAACUACGUGCCAGCAGCCGCGGUAAUACGUAGGUGGCAAGCGUUAUCCGGAAUUAUUGGGCGUAAAGCGCGCGUAGGCGGUUUCUUAAGUCUGAUGUGAAAGCCCACGGCUCAACCGUGGAGGGUCAUUGGAAACUGGGAAACUUGAGUGCAGAAGAGGAGAGUGGAAUUCCAUGUGUAGCGGUGAAAUGCGCAGAGAUAUGGAGGAACACCAGUGGCGAAGGCGGCUCUCUGGUCUGUAACUGACGCU